This 797-nucleotide long non-coding RNA is filed under the name Equus asinus (donkey). Its description in RNAcentral is "lncRNA (ENSEASG00005024146.1)". The record is from RNAcentral. Lineage: Eukaryota; Metazoa; Chordata; Mammalia; Perissodactyla; Equidae.
AUCCUUUAAUUUAAAAGGCAGCGCGCAGUUAUAAAGAAGACUUGGGACGUAACCCGGCCUGAGAAGCAGGCGUGCUGCCCCUUUGGGUCUCCUGCAAGCUGAUCCAGUUGGAAUUGAUACUGAUGGAAGAUUUUUUCCGCCUUGGAAAGACAAAGAUGGUUCCGAUGGUUUGGUGCUCCAUCUAGUGGAUACGAAGAAGCCAAGGCCCCCGGCGGUGGAAGAGAUUCUGCCCGGGUCACGCAGCUUCAGCAACAGAUUAACAAACAGAAAACCAGGCCUGGAGCCAGUGCCCUUGACAACCAGCUCAGGGCCAGAUCUCAGCUCCUCCAGCCUUGUUGUGAUUGUUUAAUGGCAUCGUAGAGAUAAACUUCCCAUUAAUUGAGAGCCACAUCUGUAAAUAGAAACCUGUAAAUAGAAUCUGUGGGAUAAAAGCCAUGCUUUCACAUUUAAUAAAAAGUGUAUUUAUUGAGCUUUUCUGCUGUGCAAGGCACUAUUCAGUCCAAUCUAAGCCAACUACCAUCACUAAGCCAAUCUUUGGUCACUGGAUAAAGUUAGUUUGAAGAAAGGCAGAUUAGUGUACAGUUCUAAUUCAGUUCUCAUAGUUUUAAAACAUAACCAUGAAUAUUGCAUUAAGGAUCACAUUAUAAUCUUGAAUUUUGUCAGGAUGUAGAAAUAGGUGGUUGCCUAUACAAAAUACAAAUGACUUCAAUCUCAGACUGUCUCUUCAUCCCUGGGUCUUCAUGUCCUCUUUGUGUUUCCUAUCUGCCAAGAAAAUUUUAAUCCUCUAACUGGUCCAG